AAAUUAUUCAUCAUCUUAAUAAUAGAUGCCAUGUAUUAAGUACUUAUUAAAGCAAGUGCUUUGCAUGCAUUUUCUCAUUUAGUCCUUUGAACGUCCUGUGAAGUACAUAUGGUUAUUGCCUCAUUGAAAAAGCUCAGUUGCUCAGAGUCAUACAUGUUGUAACCAGGUUUCAUCUGGCUUCAGGCUCAUGCUCCAUUUAAACAUUGCCACACUGCCUUCCAUCAAAAUGUUAAAAUCAAGGAUAAUUCAGUGGCAGGAAGAAGAAACACAUUCAAGACGACUUGGGUAGAGGGAACUUACUGGAAGGAGAUGAGGAAACUUUGUGGUAAGACCCAACGUGCAUGAGAAGAGUUGCUAGACAAGUUUAUUUAAUCACUUAGAAUACGUCAUGUUAACUCAAGGAAGAAGCAAAGUGCCUGAAAAGCCAGGAUAAACUAUGUUAUGUAUUUGACUGUUUUGUUAAGUGACUUUAUCAGUUAAUCUCCAUGUCCAUGGCAGUAAGCAAAUCCUGUAUACGGAAAGAAUGUAUCUAUGAGAACGGAUCUUUUGUAAAUUUUUCAUAUUCUCAAGCUUCUUCCAAGACUCUAUUAAGAUAUUCUCACCUGCACACUUGAGAUGGUUAAAAUAAGUAUAACAGUCCUUGUGAGAUAAUGGUGGACCUAUCUGAGCAACAAUGGAGCCUUGUCCCAACCAGCAGGUGAAGGGAUUUUGAACCUUGUCAUCAGGUGCUUCCAAAAACGUGAUUAACUUUUGUAAUCACCUCUGGAAUUUAAAGAGUUAAGUGAGAAACAUUUAUUCAAUACCUAUCAGAAGUGUUUACUUUUUUCUU
Molecule: long non-coding RNA, 829 nt
Filed under: Vulpes vulpes (red fox)
Lineage: Eukaryota; Metazoa; Chordata; Mammalia; Carnivora; Canidae
Description: lncRNA (ENSVVUG00000021871.1)
Source: RNAcentral